GGACUACCAGGGUUUCUAAUCCCGUUUGCUCCCCUGACCUUCGUGCCUCAGCGUCGGUAACUGUCCAGAGACUCGCCUUCGCCACUGGUCUUCCUUACGAUAUCUACGCAUUUCACUGCUACACCGUAAAUUCCAGUCUCCUCUCCAGUACCCUAGCCAGGCAGUAUCGAAUGCAGUUCCAGGGUUGAGCCCUGGGAUUUCACAUCCGACUUACCCGACCGCCUACGCACCCUUUACGCCCAAUGAAUCCGAACAACGGUUGAGACCUCUGUAUUACCGCGGCUGCUGGCAC
RNAcentral lists this ribosomal RNA (292 nucleotides) under uncultured Verrucomicrobiota bacterium. Its description in RNAcentral is "uncultured Verrucomicrobia bacterium partial 16S ribosomal RNA". The record is from RNAcentral. Lineage: Bacteria; Pseudomonadati; Verrucomicrobiota.